AAAGCAUACAAUUAUAAGCAACCUAUCAUAAAUAUUCUGAUUACGUCAUCAGGCAAAAUGAAAAGUCUGCAGGCGGAAGCUGUUUACCGCCUUCAUCAAACAAAAUAUUUAUUGCUCCUUUAAAAAUAUACAGGUUGGCCUCGUUACCAAUGCAGAAUGAUUUCCGUACAUGCCAUUUCUGCGACAACUUUUAAUGAUCAUAGUCUUUACACAACACUGAAACAUCAUCAAUUUUCGUAUUUUGGGAAAUAUUUGUAUGAUAUUUUAGUUCAUCAAAUUACCAUAAAGUGUAUAAGAAUAAAAAGUUCAAGGCUAUUGGAAAAUAAACGUAUUUGUGAUGGUACCAUCAGCAGUUUGUGUUAUCAAUGGCGUUUGUUUUGUUUUUUUCAUGUCACAUGUUUGUGCUUUUUUUCUCUUCAUGUCCGGUUUUAAGUCUCACAAAUAUGUGACGGUUAAGUCGUUUUCAAUACUGUUUCUCUAUGACAUAUAGUGCAGCGUAUCUUUUAGACAACGUCAUUAUGGAUUAGCGACUGUUAAGAUUAUCACAUUGUAUGUGAUUGUUUGCAUGUAUAACCAUACUGAUUUACUACGAUUUUCUCUCGGUUGUUGUGACGAGUUAAAUAACUGCAGCUUAGAAUUGUAUCUAAGUUGACAUUAAAUUCCUAUCCAUAACUUGCAUUACAAUUGCUUGCCCAACUCUUUAUUUUAUAUUGUUUAUAGGAGUUAUGAGAUUGAUAACUGUUCAUUAUUGUCACCUUUCAUGAUAUUAGAUACAAAACUAAAUCACGACAUCAAUUCCUUUUGAAAAAUAAUUUCAUCAACGUCAACACGGGAAGCAGCAAAACAUCUCUUAACACAACUAAGAAAAGUACCUCUAUACCUCUACCAAUGAUACUAAGAAAAUGAAAACGUGAAGAUAACGAACAGUGAACAAUAAAAGGUUGUAUGGAUAUAUUUUACGGUAGGAACUGUACUAUUCUUUGUCAAUACCCAACACUCGGUUGGAUUUGUCGUUCAUGGUGCAACUGCAGCCGCGAGGAUUGUCACCACGUGAACAGGUGUAGCUGAUCUGAGGCUGCACCGAAACCUACCAGCAUCCCACGCACGGAUAGAAUACAUAGGAUAGCUAAAGGAGGCACAAAUUACAGGAAUCCAGUGCCUUUACUUUCUGUGACAGAAUCUGUAUCAAAACCUACCAACAUCCCUCUUAUAGAUGAAACAGAGGAGACAAGAGAAGCAAGUGGGAUAAAUUCCGUGUCUUUAGUUUCUGGCAUUACUAGUCUCCUUAUCGUGGCCGGAAUAUUACUGACGUUGUAUGCAAUGAUGUAUUUUCAUAAAAUAUCAUGCAAAGCUCAAAGUGAUUCAGCCGGUAUUACAACUUUUCAAAUUAUAAAAUACACAACGCCCAUGUUAAUUCCAGGGGUUUUUGUCAUUAGUGUCCGUUAUCCAUUAAUUACAUUCUAAGUUCUUUGCUCACACAUUAAGUCAAGUCAGACUCUAAUUCUGACUAUAUACAUCUGUGUUCAGAUGACACCAUUGCAGUCCAAUCAGAUUAUAA
This is a long non-coding RNA of Ostrea edulis (European flat oyster), 1558 nucleotides long. RefSeq lists it as uncharacterized. NCBI's taxonomy places the organism in Eukaryota, Metazoa, Mollusca, Bivalvia, Ostreida, Ostreidae. The transcript is spliced from 4 exons. The record is from RefSeq and is a predicted model, not a curated record.